This 301-nucleotide ribosomal RNA is filed under the name uncultured bacterium. Its description in RNAcentral is "partial 16S ribosomal RNA". It matches the Rfam family "Bacterial small subunit ribosomal RNA", at positions 509 to 807 of the family's 1533-position model. The record is from RNAcentral.
CAGUAGCCGCGGGAAUACGGAGGGGGCUAGCGUUGUUCGGAAUUACUGGGCGUAAAGCGCACGUAGGCGGAUACUUAAGUUAGGGGUGAAAUCCCAGGGCUCAACCCUGGAACUGCCUUUAAUACUGGGUAUCUUGAGUUCGAGAGAGGUAAGUGGAAUUCCGAGUGUAGAGGUGAAAUUCGUAGAUAUUCGGAGGAACACCAGUGGCGAAGGCGGCUUACUGGCUCGAUACUGACGCUGAGGUGCGAAAGCGUGGGGAGCAAACAGGAUUAGAUACCCCAGUAGUCCCUGUCUCUUAUAC